CAGGGAAUAUUGCGCAAUGGGCGAAAGCCUGACGCAGUAACGCCGCGUGGGGGAUGAAGGCCUUCGGGUUGUAAACCCCUUUCAGCAGGGACGAAAUUGACGGUACCUGCAGAAGAAGCACCGGCCAACUACGUGCCAGCAGCCGCGGUAACACGUAGGGUGCAAGCGUUGUCCGGAUUCAUUGGGCGUAAAGGGCUAGUAGGCGGCUUAGCAAGUCGGGUGUGAAAACUUCAGGCUCAACCUGGAGCGGCCACCCGAUACUGCUAUGGCUAGAGUCCGGUAGGGGACCACGGAAUUCCUGGUGUAGCGGUGAAAUGCGCAGAUAUCAGGAGGAACACCGAUGGCGAAGGCAGUGGUCUGGGCCGGAACUGACGCUGAAUAGCGAAAGCGUGGGGAGCGAACAGGAUUAGAUACCCCUGUAGUCC
RNAcentral lists this ribosomal RNA (425 nucleotides) under uncultured bacterium. Its description in RNAcentral is "bacterial SSU rRNA". It matches the Rfam family "Bacterial small subunit ribosomal RNA", at positions 355 to 796 of the family's 1533-position model. The record is from RNAcentral.